UCAAUGGAAAUCUUGCAACCGCGAUUUUGACAUAAACGAACUGCUGUCUUAUUGCGCACCUUUCGAGCAGUAACCUUCGCCGUUUAUUGAAAGGAGGCCUCAGUUUUUUGUUGUCUGCUGAACGUGGUUUUCUCGCCACAAAUCAACUUCAAUAAAUUAGACGACAGGUGGUGCACCAAGGAAACCUUCACUUUCAAUCCUUUCAAAUUUAUCAAUCUUGCAGGUGUACUUUUGUGGCAGCUUUGAUCUCAUCUGGUACUUGAAAAUUGUCGCUGACACUUUGGUUGUAGGUUGUCCUUCUUUUCUUCACAAGUGGUGGUAUACAGUCAUCGUCGGCUACUUGUUCUUUCUUUUGAGAGUCUGUCAUAUUGGCAGCUACUUGUUCUUUGUCAUGAGAGUCUGUCACAUCGAUGGCUACUUGUUCUUUGUCCUGAGAGUCUGUCACAUCGACGGCUGCAUGUUCUUUGUCCUGAGAGUCUGUCACCAUGGCAUUCUCUGUUAUUUCAGUAGAUGUCUGUUUAGAGACAGUAGCUUCUUUAACAGAGAGUACUCAUUCUGAAAAUUUAGUUUCAGCUGCAGACAAAAACAACAGUUUGAGCCACUGGCACGCUUGUAUGCAUGUAUGGUAUAUGCAUGUAUGUUGAAAGACCUAAUGAAAUGGUCUAUUUCUGUCCACUAAUUGAAGUUUGUUAAGAAGGAUGACUGA
Molecule: long non-coding RNA, 706 nt
Organism: Corticium candelabrum
Lineage: Eukaryota; Metazoa; Porifera; Homoscleromorpha; Homosclerophorida; Plakinidae
Exons: 3
Source: RefSeq, a predicted model, not a curated record